UUUGGAGAUCGGAUGAAUUUAUGGCAAGCAAAUCAAUCUAGACCGUCGGAUGGCAUUAGGUUUAUUUUCCUUCCCUGCAUCCUUUUUGUUCCACGCCAUGUUGUUUCCUGCCGCCGCCACCUCUUAUUCCCGCCUCUUCUGUUCCUUGUGCUUCCGCCUCCUGCUCUUCCCAAUAGGUGCCAUUGAUUUCUAAUCCAAGCAUUUGUGCCAUGGGUUACUGGUUCCUAUCGCCGGUUUGCAGAGUUCUAGUGGCGAGCGCGUAGCACCGGGUUCUCGCCAAGGUUAAGACAAGUGCAUGACGAACUGUGUGUUGGCAAGUUGGUUGCCAUUCCUUUUCUUAUGAUUUCCAAUUGUUUUAUCACAUGUUUAUUAUAUUUAAGUCCAUGAGUUGUUCAUGUUUCAUGAUUCAAGUUUCAAGCUAUUUCUUAAAUUCUAUUCAUGUUCCGGUGGAUCCGGAUGUGCAAUUUGGUUCUUUUAUUCAUGUUCCUGUGAGUAAGUGCUGGCCCCACUUGCUCGGAUUUACCGGUAAAUGCUAAGGAUGUUUCAGGUUGUGUC
Long non-coding RNA from Panicum virgatum (switchgrass), 555 nucleotides. RefSeq lists it as uncharacterized. The record is from RefSeq and is a predicted model, not a curated record. The transcript has 2 exons. NCBI's taxonomy places the organism in Eukaryota, Viridiplantae, Streptophyta, Magnoliopsida, Poales, Poaceae.